This 499-nucleotide ribosomal RNA is filed under the name uncultured bacterium. Its description in RNAcentral is "partial 16S ribosomal RNA". It matches the Rfam family "Bacterial small subunit ribosomal RNA", at positions 28 to 507 of the family's 1533-position model. The record is from RNAcentral.
GAUGAACGCUGGCGGCGUGCCUAAUACAUGCAAGUCGCGCUAACAGACGCGAGUGCUUGCACUCUCUGACGUUAUCGUCGGACGCGUGAGUAACACGUGGGUAACCUACCUUUCCGACUGGGAUCACUUCGGGAAACCGGCGCUAAUACCAUAUAAUAUUUAGCUUCGCAUGAGGCACUAGUGAAAGACGGUUCUGCUGUCACUUAUAGAUGGACCCGCGGUGUAUUAGCUAGUUGGUGAGGUAACGGCUCACCAAGGCAACGAUACAUAGCCGACCUGAGAGGGUGAUCGGCCACACUGGGACUGAGACACGGCCCAGACUCCUACGGGAGGCAGCAGGAGGGAAUCUUCCGCAAUGGACGAAAGUCUGACGGAGCAAUGCCGCGUGAGUGAAGAAGGUUUUCGGAUCGUAAAACGCUGUUGUAAGGGAAGAACAAGUACGUUAGUAACUGAACGUACAUUGACGGUACAUUACCAGAAAGACACGGCUAACUACGUG